RNAcentral lists this small nuclear RNA (24 nucleotides) under Arabidopsis thaliana (thale cress). Its description in RNAcentral is "snRNA_04724". Lineage: Eukaryota; Viridiplantae; Streptophyta; Magnoliopsida; Brassicales; Brassicaceae. The record is from RNAcentral.
UUUAUUGCCAAUAAAUGCUAUACC